AGUGAACGCUGGCGGCGUGCCUAAUACAUGCAAGUCGAACGGACAAGUAAGAGCUUGCUCUUAUGAGUUAGUGGCGCACGGGUGAGUAAUGUAUAGCUAAUCUGCCCUACACUAGAGGACAACAGUUGGAAACGACUGCUAAUACUCUAUACUCCUGUCUUACAUAAGUUAGAUAGGGAAAGUUUUUUGGUGUAGGAUGAGGCUAUAUUGUAUCAGCUAGUUGGUGAGGUAAUGGCUCACCAAGGCUAUGACGCAUAACUGGUCUGAGAGGAUGAUCAGUCACACUGGAACUGAGACACGGUCCAGACUCCUACGGGAGGCAGCAGUAGGGAAUAUUGCUCAAUGGGGGAAACCCUGAAGCAGCAACGCCGCGUGGAGGAUGACACUUUUCGGAGCGUAAACUCCUUUUGUUAGGGAAGAAC
This 422-nucleotide ribosomal RNA is filed under the name Campylobacter concisus. RNAcentral's name for it is "bacterial SSU rRNA". It matches the Rfam family "Bacterial small subunit ribosomal RNA", at positions 29 to 450 of the family's 1533-position model. The record is from RNAcentral. Lineage: Bacteria; Pseudomonadati; Campylobacterota; Epsilonproteobacteria; Campylobacterales; Campylobacteraceae.